This 356-nucleotide ribosomal RNA is filed under the name uncultured bacterium. RNAcentral's name for it is "partial 16S ribosomal RNA". It matches the Rfam family "Bacterial small subunit ribosomal RNA", at positions 338 to 709 of the family's 1533-position model. The record is from RNAcentral.
CCUACGGGAGGCAGCAGUGGGGAAUAUUGGGCAAUGGACGCAAGUCUGACCCAGCAACGCCGCGUGAAGGAUGAAGGCUUUCGGGUUGUAAACUUCUUUUAAUGGGGAAGAUCAUAAGACGGUAUCCCUUGAAUAAGCCACGUCUAACUACGUGCAAGCAGCCGCGGUAAUACGGAGGUUGCAAGCGUUUUACGGAUUUACUGGGUGUAAAGGGCGUGCAGGCGGAGAGACAAGUCAGAUGUGAAAUCCUAAGGCUCAACCUGAGAACUGCAUUUGAAACUGGUUGUCUUGAGUAUAGGAGAGGUAAGCGGAAUUCUUAGUGUAGCGGUGAAAUGCGUAGAUAUUAGGAAGAACAC